Chiloscyllium plagiosum (whitespotted bambooshark) is the source of this 750-nucleotide non-coding RNA. NCBI's taxonomy places the organism in Eukaryota, Metazoa, Chordata, Chondrichthyes, Orectolobiformes, Hemiscylliidae. The record is from RefSeq and is a predicted model, not a curated record.
UCUAACUGAAGAGCAAGGACACGAUAUAAAUAGCAGAAUUCCUUCCCAAACGGCAAUGUGGGUCAAUCCACAGCAAGUGGACCUCAACGAUUCAAGGCAGCUCACCCCCACCUUCUCAAGGGCAGAUAGGGCUGGCCUGUUAAUCCUGGCCAGCCAGCAACGCUCAUGUCCCACAAAUGAAUUUUUAAAAUUGUUUCUGUUGUACUGCUCUUUUACAGAUGGUGACACUCAACAGUUCAACCAGGUUUCAACUCCUCGCCUUCUGUAUGUCAGCAAUUAGGAAUGUGUUACCACUACCAGUCGAUGGAAAAAAUAAAUGACCCUCCCCCAUUUCCUUUUGUUCACUGUCUGCCUUCCACUGCAGAGAGGAAAUACGAGACAACAAGUUCUGUUCUCGGCCGGACUACAGAAACAGCCCAGCACUUUAAUGCGAAUGCUGAAGAUCACGUGGAUCUGCUCAGAAGCUGAUGACAGUCUGGAGGAGUUUGACAGCUGGGGAAGUUGCAAAGACAUCUGGAGUAAGGAUUUGGGCAGAGGCCUCAAAGGUUGAGGGGAUCUUUACUACCCACGGCAGCACAGCUUGAAAGGCCUGGGUUUAAGUUGGGGCUUUGUGCUUUAUUGGAACUUCUGCUGAAUCUGAAUGCCUGCACUUUUUGAACCUCUGACCUUGACUGUUUAUAUUUGCAAAUGCUUUGUUCCCACCCAACUGUACAUUUGCCUGGAGGAGUUUAAUUAAAGGAUGCUGCAUUG